RNAcentral lists this ribosomal RNA (690 nucleotides) under Triticum aestivum (bread wheat). Its description in RNAcentral is "partial small subunit ribosomal RNA". Lineage: Eukaryota; Viridiplantae; Streptophyta; Magnoliopsida; Poales; Poaceae. The record is from RNAcentral.
AUGAACCGCACGGUAUGGUGCGUCGUCAAUGAUGCAUCUUGCUUAGGCAGGACCGCAAGGACGGCGAAAAUGGUGUUGAGGAAUCUUGCGAGCCGCGCGCUGGGGGAGGACGGCUUGCGGAAGUCCCUGAGCUUGGCGCGGAAGGAGGAGCUCGCCUCGUCCGACGAAGAGGCGAUGACGACGGGGUCGCUAGGAUCUCCCUGCAGCGGGGCGGCGGCAAAUCAUAGGCGCGCCGGAGCCCACGAGCCGGAGCGGCGGUCGAGGGCGGCGACGGCGCCCGAAGCGCCGUUCCACGUGGCUGCUCAAGCCUACGGCCAUCUUGGGCUGCGGAGAGGCGGUGCCGUGGGCGCGCUCCAUCCUCGUUCACCGCGGAGCGCAUCGGCACAGGAGGAAAAACAAGGCGGGUUGUGGCUUGAAUCGACAAACUUGGUUGCGGGCAUCUGCAUGAGCCACUCCACCGACGGAGGAGGGGGUCGAGGCGAAGCCCAGGGGGCUGCCGGAGGCGCGAGGGCGGCCUCGUGCACCAUGGGGCGCUUGGGCCAGCCACCAGCCAGCCAGGGGUCAAGCCCCACGUUCACUGGCGGUCCGCGUGCACUACAUGCAGCGGCGGCCGAGGCCACAUCCAAGGGCGUGGUGAGCACCGCUGGGGCGCGUCCAGCCGAGCAGUGGCCACCACAGGCUCCAGUCUAG